This 1768-nucleotide ribosomal RNA is filed under the name Escherichia coli. RNAcentral's name for it is "partial 23S ribosomal RNA". It matches the Rfam family "Bacterial large subunit ribosomal RNA", at positions 1177 to 2925 of the family's 2925-position model. The record is from RNAcentral. Lineage: Bacteria; Pseudomonadati; Pseudomonadota; Gammaproteobacteria; Enterobacterales; Enterobacteriaceae.
GGGGCUAAACCAUGCACCGAAGCUGCGGCAGCGACACUGUGUGUUGUUGGGUAGGGGAGCGUUCUGUAAGCCUGUGAAGGUGUGCUGUGAGGCAUGCUGGAGGUAUCAGAAGUGCGAAUGCUGACAUAAGUAACGAUAAAGCGGGUGAAAAGCCCGCUCGCCGGAAGACCAAGGGUUCCUGUCCAACGUUAAUCGGGGCAGGGUGAGUCGACCCCUAAGGCGAGGCCGAAAGGCGUAGUCGAUGGGAAACAGGUUAAUAUUCCUGUACUUGGUGUUACUGCGAAGGGGGGACGGAGAAGGCUAUGUUGGCCGGGCGACGGUUGUCCCGGUUUAAGCGUGUAGGCUGGUUUUCCAGGCAAAUCCGGAAAAUCAAGGCUGAGGCGUGAUGACGAGGCACUACGGUGCUGAAGCAACAAAUGCCCUGCUUCCAGGAAAAGCCUCUAAGCAUCAGGUAACAUCAAAUCGUACCCCAAACCGACACAGGUGGUCAGGUAGAGAAUACCAAGGCGCUUGAGAGAACUCGGGUGAAGGAACUAGGCAAAAUGGUGCCGUAACUUCGGGAGAAGGCACGCUGAUAUGUAGGUGAAGUCCCUCGCGGAUGGAGCUGAAAUCAGUCGAAGAUACCAGCUGGCUGCAACUGUUUAUUAAAAACACAGCACUGUGCAAACACGAAAGUGGACGUAUACGGUGUGACGCCUGCCCGGUGCCGGAAGGUUAAUUGAUGGGGUCAGCGCAAGCGAAGCUCUUGAUCGAAGCCCCGGUAAACGGCGGCCGUAACUAUAACGGUCCUAAGGUAGCGAAAUUCCUUGUCGGGUAAGUUCCGACCUGCACGAAUGGCGUAAUGAUGGCCAGGCUGUCUCCACCCGAGACUCAGUGAAAUUGAACUCGCUGUGAAGAUGCAGUGUACCCGCGGCAAGACGGAAAGACCCCGUGAACCUUUACUAUAGCUUGACACUGAACAUUGAGCCUUGAUGUGUAGGAUAGGUGGGAGGCUUUGAAGUGUGGACGCCAGUCUGCAUGGAGCCGACCUUGAAAUACCACCCUUUAAUGUUUGAUGUUCUAACGUGGACCCGUGAUCCGGGUUGCGGACAGUGUCUGGUGGGUAGUUUGACUGGGGCGGUCUCCUCCUAAAGAGUAACGGAGGAGCACGAAGGUUGGCUAAUCCUGGUCGGACAUCAGGAGGUUAGUGCAAUGGCAUAAGCCAGCUUGACUGCGAGCGUGACGGCGCGAGCAGGUGCGAAAGCAGGUCAUAGUGAUCCGGUGGUUCUGAAUGGAAGGGCCAUCGCUCAACGGAUAAAAGGUACUCCGGGGAUAACAGGCUGAUACCGCCCAAGAGUUCAUAUCGACGGCGGUGUUUGGCACCUCGAUGUCGGCUCAUCACAUCCUGGGGCUGAAGUAGGUCCCAAGGGUAUGGCUGUUCGCCAUUUAAAGUGGUACGCGAGCUGGGUUUAGAACGUCGUGAGACAGUUCGGUCCCUAUCUGCCGUGGGCGCUGGAGAACUGAGGGGGGCUGCUCCUAGUACGAGAGGACCGGAGUGGACGCAUCACUGGUGUUCGGGUUGUCAUGCCAAUGGCACUGCCCGGUAGCUAAAUGCGGAAGAGAUAAGUGCUGAAAGCAUCUAAGCACGAAACUUGCCCCGAGAUGAGUUCUCCCUGACCCUUUAAGGGUCCUGAAGGAACGUUGAAGACGACGACGUUGAUAGGCCGGGUGUGUAAGCGCAGCGAUGCGUUGAGCUAACCGGUACUAAUGAACCGUGAGGCUUAACCUU